AUUGAACGCUGGCGGCAUGCCUUACACAUGCAAGUCGAACGGCAGCACGGGUGCUUGCACCUGGUGGCGAGUGGCGAACGGGUGAGUAAUACAACGGAACGUACCUUAUCGUGGGGGAUAACGCAGCGAAAGCUGUGCUAAUACCGCAUACGCCCUGAGGGGGAAAGCGGGGGAGCGCAAGACCUCGCGCGAUUAGAGCGGCCGAUGCCUGAUUAGCUUGUUGGUGGGGUAAAAGCCCGCCAAGGCGACGAUCAGUAGCCGGUCUGAGAGGACGAUCAGCCACACUGGAACUGAGACACGGCCCAGACUCCUACGGGAGGCAGCAGUGGGGAAUUUUGGACAAUGGGGGCAACCCUGAUCCAGCAAUGCCGCGUGAGUGAAGAAGGCCUUCGGGUUGUAAAGCUCUUUUGUCAGGGAAGAAACACCGGCUCUAACACAGUCCGGGAAUGACGGUACCUGAAGAAUAAGCACCGGCUAACUACGUGCCAGCAGCCGCAGUAA
This 501-nucleotide ribosomal RNA is filed under the name uncultured bacterium. RNAcentral's name for it is "partial 16S ribosomal RNA". It matches the Rfam family "Bacterial small subunit ribosomal RNA", at positions 29 to 523 of the family's 1533-position model. The record is from RNAcentral.